AUUUUGUGUGCAUUUGUACCUACUCACUAACGAUAUUCUCCUCCUAUUUUGCAGGAGGAAAAUGGAAGAAACGGAGAUACUUUUAGUGAAACAGAAUAAACCACUGAACAGGAAAAAUGAGGAAGCUGUGAGUACCAGUGGAAGGAACGAGCCAGGAAGAGGGACUGGAACCAUCUCAGAAGCCAGGCCCCUCAGGCUGGAACUUGCCCUGUCUCCUCGCAGAUGAGCUACCUCUUGUGUUUAAGAAUUAAAGGAAGAUGAGCUAGGAAUCAAGAAAUACGCAGAACUGAUUCCUGUCACUGGCGCCACCCUGCCACUUGCCCAGAGCUGUGGUAUAAAUUUUUUUAAUAGGCUGAAAUAAAAAUAUGAAUAGUAUUUUGGUAUUAAGCAUUAAAUUGAUAAAGGCUAUGAGAUACACCUGCUCUCAACCAUGUUAAUUUUUUAUUAUUGGUAUUAAUAAAUUAUUACUUACUAACAUAUUAACAAGAAUUGCAUUGAGAAACAAAGCAUCCACAGGCCAAAUCUUCUGAAUUUCAAAUGUUUAUAUUAAUGCGUUGUAUUCUAGAAAAGUAGAAUUGUCUUAAGUAGCUUUGUAAUAUAAAGUCAUCUAUCAGCCCAUUACACCUAUUAGAAUGUUUUAACCUUUAUCUCCCACUUUUUUGUUUCUAGACUGAGUGUACUUGGUCUGGUAUUUGUGGCAUAACUUACGGAACACAUAAGAAUGAUACAGAUACUAUUUAAUGAUGACCUAAUACAAGCUUAGAUAGCUAAGGUGAAAGCUUCUAUGGCCUUAACAUUUUCCUCUUGAAGAAUGUAUUUUCUGUAAUAAAAUACAGUGGCUACUUGAAAUCUAUAAACUUAUGUGAGGUCUGGAUAAAUCUGAGCAACUUUCUUCUUUGUGCUCCA
Molecule: long non-coding RNA, 906 nt
Filed under: Pan troglodytes (chimpanzee)
Lineage: Eukaryota; Metazoa; Chordata; Mammalia; Primates; Hominidae
Description: long non-coding RNA NONPTRT016386
Source: RNAcentral